GUAGUGUAAACGGUUGACACAAUUGACUGCUAACCAAAAGGUUGGUGGUUUGAGUCUACCC
RNAcentral lists this transfer RNA (61 nucleotides) under Loxodonta africana (African savanna elephant). It matches the Rfam family "tRNA", at positions 7 to 64 of the family's 71-position model. From Rfam's summary of the family: Transfer RNA (tRNA) molecules are approximately 80 nucleotides in length. Their secondary structure includes four short double-helical elements and three loops (D, anti-codon, and T loops). Lineage: Eukaryota; Metazoa; Chordata; Mammalia; Proboscidea; Elephantidae. The record is from Rfam by way of RNAcentral.